AUAAUGAUACUUCCGUAAUUCGCGGCCCGGUCAUAAUGAAGGCGGGGGGAUGAGACUUCCAUGG
This 64-nucleotide non-coding RNA is filed under the name unclassified sequences. The record is from Rfam.